GAUGAAGACAUCAGGAUGUUCCUGGAAGAGGCCACAUCACUCGACCCCAGGUUUAAGACAAAAAUCCUGGGUGCUGCCGUUUGGUCUAGGUUGGUGGAGAAAGCAUGCGGUGAAAACUCUGAACAGCAUGCACUGGAAAUGUAUGAAGAAGAGGAAGAGAACAAACUGGACAAGGGGAUGGAGGAGGAAUUAGGGGAUGAAGAGACUGCAUCUCUGGAUGACACAACACAUAUUGCUGUGACUACGAGCCACUCCAUGUGUCACUCUGCACUGGGGGAGCUGUUUGCAGAGGAGGACUUGGCCCUUAAAACCAACCAGGCAGCGCCACUACUUGACCUGUCAGAGAAGGCACGGAAGGAGCUUGAACUCUACAGAGCUCUACCUCCAGAGCUGACCUCCACCAAUCCUGCUGAGUGGUGGUGGGAGAGGAGAGGGACGUUCCCUAUCUUGUUUAAUCCGGCCUCUAAUUACACAUGUGUCCAGGCAUCCUCCACUCCAGCCGAACGGAUCUUUUCAACAGCCGGUGACACAAUCAGCCAGGGCUUGCCUUUUGCCAGAGAAGGCAGACAUGCUAAUAUUUCUGAAAAAAAGUUGUUAAUAAAUGAGGACUGACUGAGUCAGUGUUGUUCAGUGUUAGUUCUGGUUGUGAAAUUGACACAAACCAAAAUACUUCAUUGUACAGGUUUGUACAGCUGUUAAUAAAUAUUUGAGCACUUUUGAAAUGCAUUUGUGUAGAAAAUCUUUUGAAUGGGGAGGAGUGGUGACAUUUAUGAUACUGAUUUACUGAUUUACUGAUUUCUGUGAAAAUACUGCUUUAUUUUCACAUGAUUAUUAUUGAAUGAAGUUGAAAAAAGUAUCGAAUGAAGUACUCAAUUGGUGUCAGUAUCGUUUUAAGGGUACUGGUAUUGGUACUGGUAUCGAAAAAUUUCAAACGAUACCCAGCCCUAUAUGUGACCCAUAUCUGAUUUGCUUUAUGAACAGCACAAGUCGCAUUGAAUCUGACAUUUUCUAAUCAGAUUCAGGCCACAUUUAAAUGUGGUACUGAAUCGGAUACGUAUCGGAUUUUUUUGAAUGCGACCGCAAUCUGAACAGCCAGGUCGCAUUUAACGCGACUUUGACGUCAUUCUGACCCGCGCUGCACUGUUUUGUAAAUGAAUGACAAAUAAAGUUGAUUGAAAAAAAAGUGUGCCACAGGCGGGAGCGAGCGGGAGCCACGAACAAAAUCAAAACAAACAUGGAGGACAGCAGUGAAGCAGGCCGCCAGUGGAGGGACAGUGAGGUUUUAGACCUUAUAAGUAAGACGCCGCAUCCAAAUACUCCUCUGUACGGAUGUUGCCGCUAUUGCUCCGCAUAGAGCCAUCAUUAAAAUAUGAAUUUUCUUUCUCCUCUUCCUUCUUCGUGAUAUCACCCGCUCACAAAUUUGCCGGCUGCCGCCACACACUGUUUUUAGCAUUAAGCCAUACAGUCCCACGUUAAUGGUUGCCGUUGCCAUGUUCGCUUCCGUAAACACCGCUGUGGCGUGAUGUCAUCAAUGAUCAACUGCGCAUGCGGGUCACUUCAGGAGCGUGAGCUGUUCACACAGCAAUCCGUAGACAGGCCGCAUUUAAAGAGGUAAUGUGAACAGCCAAACAAAAAAUCGGAUUUGAGCAAUAAAUCGGAAUUGUGCAUUAAGACCUGCAGUGUGAACGUAGCCUCUGUCUCCAUGCCUGCUGCUGCUGCGGUGGUUGCUUCCGCUGCUGCCCACCUUGUGCCGACUGCUGCGGCCGCUUUCCCCUCCAUGUAUUCUGCCCUCAGCUCCCCUGCCAGCUGCUGCAGGACUUUCCUUCGGGCUCUCCUGCUGCUGGUGCUCCUUGAAUAAGAUGCAGGCAUCGAUACCAGCCAGGUCAAGGGUGUUAUAGAAGACCGCUACUGGCCGUCUUCGCUAGUUUUGCCUUCGCCCCACUAAAGCUGCCCACAGCUGUGUGCACGGUGCGCAAGAUGCAGACAUUCUUCCCCGGCUUUCCCUGCUACACAGUCAGAGUUGCAUCACCACACUUAAGUGUUGAACAGCUCGCCUUGCUGUUCCACAGAGGGGUUUUUGUUUGCCCAUGGUUUCAACCAGGCUAUAUAAUACAACUAUACAAUAAUUCACUUACAAGUAAAUUCACAAAGAAACACAGCUGGAGACCACUAACAAAAGGUAGAGAAGACAGACAAUGAAAAUAGCAAACCCUGCGAAAUGAUGUGCGGUCAAUAUGACCGCUUGUUGCCGAAAUAGGUAAAACAUUUUUCUUUUGUGUAAUUUAUAUAAAAACUGUUCUAAAUUAAAAUACAGACACUUUCAGGAAAAGUCAUGUAACAGCAGUAUUGCAUUUUUUCAUUCAACAAAGUUAUUGCACAUAUAAAUUUCAAUCUUGGCCAUUCUAGUGCUGGGUAUUCUUCAAGGUUCUUGGUGCUUUAGCAAUAUUGUAGUUGUGGCAUUCAUGCCAAUAAAGCAAAUUUGAAUAAAACUGAAUUAAUAAACCUUUAGAUUCUUGCCUAUAGACUGAUAAGUGUUGUGUUUACAAAUGAGCAAUAAAUCCAGAUUUCUUCAAAUUUGUAUUGCCAAUGGGAAUUUAAAUUUAAAUGUCAGGCGAUGUUUUCCUCACUGAAAUUUUUUUUUUUCAAGCUAGCUAUCUCCCUCUGUCAACCACAAUCUGUCUCCUCUGUCAAUAAACUCUAUUCAGCUCUGUUAAAUAACAGGUGUUACAACCCUUAGGUAACAUUAGGUUGGAGGAAAACCCUCCUACCUAACGUUACUAAACUCAUUUCUUAACUACAGCUUGUCAUUUGAAUGUCGACUAGGGUCUAUAUAUUAAAGCUGAGAUUAAUUCUGAAACACAUAUAAACCCAAAACAGCCCACAAUUCAUUUUCUUCAUGUAAGACCACGUCUAGGAAUGGGUGGCUGCUUCUGACUCAUUUGGAUGUAACAUGUACACGCAGGUAGUGAUGCGCAGCAUGCAGACAGCGGUGUUUGAGAGAGAUGAUCCUCAUUAACAAGAAGCAUUUUGCUUAUGCAAAUAAAUACAUCUGUUUAAACUAGAUAUUUAUAUGCCACAAAACAAUAUCAGUAGUAUUAGUAGGUUUAUAGGCAAACAAACAAGCAACAACCACUAUGAUCAUUAUUUAUUGUAUUCUUACAUUUGUGGGAAGUUACAAUACAGAUGUUCACGUCCCCACAAACGUAAUAGUUAUUACGUUUGAGGUAUAGUGCACCAAAUGGGGUUAAUACGGGCCUGGGAAUGUGUUGUGACACGCCCCCAUUUGGGCUAAAUUCAUUCAGCCCAAACUCAGUAGCUUAAGCUUCCUCUGACGUUUGAUUGACAGGUGCGCUGACACGCCCCCCUCAUAUGCUGCCCAUUUGGGCUGAAUUAAUUCUGACCUUCAACCAAUCACAGUGCAGUAGCCACUGUAUCAGUUUUCUUUAAUGUCUUUGGAGGAAAAAAUGGAAGUGAAGAGAUUGGGGGCACAUCAUCUAAACAAUGUACAAAUAACACAAAAGGAUAAACAGCAAAAUAGUAACUUUUGUGUUACAUGGUUUCAGCGAACAGACUGGCUAACUGCAAGUGUAGCUAGAAAUUCACUUUUUCUGUUUCCCAUGUUUGACACGGCUUGGACCCAACAAGGAAUUGUGGAUUUGAAACAUUUGUCCGACAAAAUAAGGAAACAUGAAUACAGCACAAGCCACAUUGGAAAUGCUGUAAAGCUGUCAUUGCUGGAUAAAGUAAACAUCGCCUGUCAGCUUAAUGAGGGUCACCGCAUCGCUGUACAGAGACACAACGAGCUGGUAAAAAAAAAACAGGCAUUCACUGUCAAGGAUUGUGGACUGUAUUAAAUUUUGUGGGGGACACGAGCUUGCUCUGCGGGGGUCAGAGGAAUCUC
RNAcentral lists this long non-coding RNA (3901 nucleotides) under Sparus aurata (gilthead seabream). Its description in RNAcentral is "lncRNA (ENSSAUG00010016413.1)". The record is from RNAcentral. Lineage: Eukaryota; Metazoa; Chordata; Actinopteri; Spariformes; Sparidae.